UACAGAGGUCUCAAGCGUUGUUCGGAUUCAUUGGGCGUAAAGGGUGCGUAGGUGGUUGGGUAAGUCACAUGUGAAAUCCCGGAGCUCAACUCCGGAACUGCAUUCGAUACUGCCCGGCUAGAGGAUUGGAGAGGAGGCUGGAAUUCACGGUGUAGCAGUGAAAUGCGUAGAUAUCGUGAGGAACACCCGCGGCGAAGGCGGGCCACUGGACAACUCCUGACGCUGAGGCACGAAGGCUAGGGGAGCAAACGGG
This 253-nucleotide ribosomal RNA is filed under the name uncultured bacterium. RNAcentral describes it as "partial 16S ribosomal RNA". It matches the Rfam family "Bacterial small subunit ribosomal RNA", at positions 524 to 776 of the family's 1533-position model. The record is from RNAcentral.